GAUGAACGCUGGCGGCGUGCCUAAUACAUGCAAGUCGGACGGAGCGCUUCGGCGCUCAGUGGCGAACGGGUGAGUAGCACAUGGGCAACCUGCCCUUCAGAGGGGGACAACAGCUGGAAACGGCUGCUAAUACCGAAUACGUUCUUUUUGUCGCAUGGCAGAGGGAAGAAAGGGAGGCUCUUCGGAGCUUUCGCUGAAGGAGGGGCUUGCGUCUGAUUAGCUAGUUGGAGGGGUAACGGCCCACCAAGGCGACGAUCAGUAGCCGGUCUGAGAGGAUGAACGGCCACAUUGGGACUGAGACACGGCCCAG
Molecule: ribosomal RNA, 310 nt
Filed under: uncultured bacterium
Lineage: Bacteria
Description: bacterial SSU rRNA
Rfam family: Bacterial small subunit ribosomal RNA
Source: RNAcentral